Molecule: long non-coding RNA, 418 nt
Organism: Sinocyclocheilus grahami
Lineage: Eukaryota; Metazoa; Chordata; Actinopteri; Cypriniformes; Cyprinidae
Exons: 3
Source: RefSeq, a predicted model, not a curated record
UUGCCACCCCUGCUUUAAAUCAUGCAUGCAUAUUGAUUGUCCUGUGUCUAUAUUAUUGAAGCAGUGGGUAUUUUAACAAUAAUGGAUUGGCCAUUCACUUCCAUUGAGCUGGAGUCUCUCUACAGGAGACUAUGAGAUACCUGGAGUCUUGAGGAGAUCGAGGUCAUGCUUAAGGGGCAGAUACAGGGCCAGGAUCUGUUCUUCGACUGCGUGGAAGCCGAGAUCAAAUUCUACCAGUGAAACAGAGCAAGUAAACAGAGAAAUUUGUCGUUGUGAACGUCACUAGUGCUUGCUGAUCUGCCUGGAGAGAUAGAGACAGUCUAAAGUGCACAGGUUCCUGCCUGCUCAAAUCCUGCUUUCCUAGUUCCCCUGAUGCCAUGCCAAACUAAUUGUGAUGUCCAUGCCACACUAACUGUAA